AUUGAACGCUGGCGGCAGGCCUAACACAUGCAAGUCGAGCGGAUGAAGGGAGCUUGCUCCUGGAUUCAGCGGCGGACGGGUGAGUAAUGCCUAGGCAUCUGCCUGGUAGUGGGGGAUAACGUCCGGAAACGGGCGCUAAUACCGCAUACGUCCUGAGGGAGAAAGUGGGGGAUCUUCGGACCUCACGCUAUCAGAUGAGCCUAGGUCGGAUUAGCUAGUUGGUGGGGUAAAGGCCUACCAAGGCGACGAUCCGUAACUGGUCUGAGAGGAUGAUCAGUCACACUGGAACUGAGACACGGUCCAGACUCCUACGGGAGGCAGCAGUGGGGAAUAUUGGACAAUGGGCGAAAGCCUGAUCCAGCCAUGCCGCGUGUGUGAAGAAGGUCUUCGGAUUGUAAAGCACUUUAAGUUGGGAGGAAGGGCAGUAAGUUAAUACCUUGCUGUUUUGACGUUACCAACAGAAUAAGCACCGGCUAACUUCGUG
This 484-nucleotide ribosomal RNA is filed under the name uncultured bacterium. Its description in RNAcentral is "partial 16S ribosomal RNA". It matches the Rfam family "Bacterial small subunit ribosomal RNA", at positions 30 to 507 of the family's 1533-position model. The record is from RNAcentral.